UAGGGAAUCUUCGGCAAUGGGGGGCAACCCUGACCGAGCAACGCCGCGUGAGUGAAGAAGGUUUUCGGACCGUAAAGCUCUGUUGUAAGAGAAGAACGUGUGUGAGAGUGGAAAGUUCACACAGUGACGGUAACUUACCAGAAAGGGACGGCUAACUACGUGCCAC
RNAcentral lists this ribosomal RNA (166 nucleotides) under uncultured bacterium. RNAcentral's name for it is "partial 16S rRNA". It matches the Rfam family "Bacterial small subunit ribosomal RNA", at positions 355 to 511 of the family's 1533-position model. The record is from RNAcentral.